This is a long non-coding RNA of Peromyscus eremicus (cactus mouse), 662 nucleotides long. RefSeq lists it as uncharacterized. Lineage: Eukaryota; Metazoa; Chordata; Mammalia; Rodentia; Cricetidae. The record is from RefSeq and is a predicted model, not a curated record. The transcript has 3 exons.
GGGUGUUUGAGUGGCGAGAGUUCUACCAGUUACUAGGCAAAGUGGUGAACAUGACAGUGUGCCACCCUACACUUAAGGAGACCGAGAGAUACAAUCGUCAAGGACAGAAGGAAGGCGCCGGGUGGACAUGAGAGCCUGGGAACCAUCUCUGUUCUGCAGUAAAGCCACGGAAACUGCUCAGCACUGAAGGGAUCCCUGAUCCUGGGGAGAAGGGGCUGCGGUAGAUGUGGCGGAUUCAGGGCUGAGCAUUCUACAGUUGUGAGUCUCCGUAUUAAUACCCAUCAACUGCAAAAACGAAGUUUUCUGUGAUAAAGGUGGACAUAUACACUAGUCUCUGGGCAUCACAAAAAGCCAUAGUCAGUUCAAUCCUCUGUUCAUUGAGCAGGAUAACAGUGACAGAGCAUAUGACCCGUCUGGUUCUUGACUUCCUAACAGUGCCGGCAAUGGGUUUGACUUAGAGGUACGAACAACAACAACAAUAAAUCAGACCAGUUUCUGCUUAUGUUUCAGGCCUGUCCCACUAUUAUACCAAUGUGUGUAUCUUGCCAGGCAGGGCAUUAUUGUAGCUCACGGGUUUCAGACCUGGUGAGAAUGGAUGCUUAUUUUUCUCCUUUGGUAGAAGUGCAUCACACCCUCUGGUACUAUGAAAUCUAGCCGGGGGC